CGGGAUGUGGCUCAGCUUGGUAGAGCGCCUGGUUCGGGACCAGGAGGUCGCAGGUUCAAGUCCUGUCAUCCCGACCA
RNAcentral lists this transfer RNA (77 nucleotides) under Caldicellulosiruptor bescii. RNAcentral's name for it is "tRNA_Pro_CGG". It matches the Rfam family "tRNA". From Rfam's summary of the family: Transfer RNA (tRNA) molecules are approximately 80 nucleotides in length. Their secondary structure includes four short double-helical elements and three loops (D, anti-codon, and T loops). Lineage: Bacteria; Bacillati; Bacillota; Caldicellulosiruptorales; Caldicellulosiruptoraceae. RNAcentral also lists the same sequence under 5 other names. The record is from RNAcentral.